This 377-nucleotide ribosomal RNA is filed under the name uncultured bacterium. RNAcentral describes it as "bacterial SSU rRNA". It matches the Rfam family "Bacterial small subunit ribosomal RNA", at positions 28 to 404 of the family's 1533-position model. The record is from RNAcentral.
GACGAACGCUGGCGGCGUGCUUAACACAUGCAAGUCGAGCGGUAAGGCCCUUUCGGGGGUACGACGAGCGGCGAACGGGUGAGUAACACGUGGGUGACCUGCCCUCAGCUCUGGGAUAANCCUGGGAAACCGGGUCUAAUACUGGAUAUGACUCCAUGACGCAUGUUGGUGGGGUAGGAAANCCUUGUGCGGCUGAGGAUGGGCCCGCGCUAUCAGCUUGUUGGUGGGGUGACGGCCCUACCAAGGCGACGACGGGUAGCCGGCCUGAGAGGGCGACCGGCCACACUGGGACUGAGACACGGCCCAGACUCCUACGGGAGGCAGCAGUGGGGAAUCUUGCGCAAUGGGCGAAAGCCUGACGCAGCGACGCCGCGUGA